This 640-nucleotide ribosomal RNA is filed under the name uncultured bacterium. RNAcentral describes it as "bacterial SSU rRNA". It matches the Rfam family "Bacterial small subunit ribosomal RNA", at positions 228 to 859 of the family's 1533-position model. The record is from RNAcentral.
GCCCCGCGGUGCAUUAGCUAGUUGGUAAGGUAACGGCUUACCAAGGCGAUGAUGCAUAGCCGAGUUGAGAGACUGAUCGGCCACAUUGGGACUGAGACACGGCCCAAACUCCUACGGGAGGCAGCAGUAGGGAAUCUUCCACAAUGGACGCAAGUCUGAUGGAGCAACGCCGCGUGAGUGAAGAAGGUUUUCGGAUCGUAAAGCUCUGUUGUUGGUGAAGAAGGAUAGAGGUAGUAACUGGCCUUUAUUUGACGGUAAUCAACCAGAAAGUCACGGCUAACUACGUGCCAGCAGCCGCGGUAAUACGUAGGUGGCAAGCGUUGUCCGGAUUUAUUGGGCGUAAAGCGAGCGCAGGCGGAAAAAUAAGUCUGAUGUGAAAGCCCUCGGCUUAACCGAGGAACUGCAUCGGAAACUGUUUUUCUUGAGUGCAGAAGAGGAGAGUGGAACUCCAUGUGUAGCGGUGGAAUGCGUAGAUAUAUGGAAGAACACCAGUGGCGAAGGCGGCUCUCUGGUCUGCAACUGACGCUGAGGCUCGAAAGCAUGGGUAGCGAACAGGAUUAGAUACCCUGGUAGUCCAUGCCGUAAACGAUGAGUGCUAAGUGUUGGGAGGUUUCCGCCUCUCAGUGCUGCAGCUAACGCA